UGGCUCAGUGGAUAGAGCGUUGGCCUGCGGACCUAAGGGUCCCAGGUUCGAUUCCUGA
This 58-nucleotide transfer RNA is filed under the name Myotis davidii. It matches the Rfam family "tRNA", at positions 8 to 63 of the family's 71-position model. Rfam says of the family: Transfer RNA (tRNA) molecules are approximately 80 nucleotides in length. Their secondary structure includes four short double-helical elements and three loops (D, anti-codon, and T loops). Lineage: Eukaryota; Metazoa; Chordata; Mammalia; Chiroptera; Vespertilionidae. The record is from Rfam by way of RNAcentral.